Melanotaenia boesemani (Boeseman's rainbowfish) is the source of this 351-nucleotide long non-coding RNA. RefSeq lists it as uncharacterized. NCBI's taxonomy places the organism in Eukaryota, Metazoa, Chordata, Actinopteri, Atheriniformes, Melanotaeniidae. The transcript is spliced from 3 exons. The record is from RefSeq and is a predicted model, not a curated record.
AGCAAAACUAACUUUUACCGGUCUUGUAUCGAGGAGUGUUUCCCCGUCAGGAUCUGUUACCUCUACCCCGCCCGCAGGAAAAAAGGCGGAGUCAGUCGCGCAUUCAGGGAAAGGCACGUCCCAUGGCACGUCCCCGCAACAUUGCUUCUCUGUUUGCUCCAUUUCUAGAUCCGUGCCUCUGCCACUCUCACGGCACCAAGGUUUUACGGAUAGCAGCAGAGGGCAAAAUUGACUGUGUUAUCGUCUUUUUAAUCUACUGCGUCAGUUGGGGGCUGGAGAAAGUUAAAGUCAUUGUAAAGUGUUUGCUGUGUUUUAUCAUUGUUGACACAACUAAAGACUUAUGUCCAUAAU